UGAGGAAUAUUGGUCAAUGGGCGGAAGCCUGAACCAGCCAUCCCGCGUGCAGGAAGACAGCCCUAUGGGUUGUAAACUGCUUUUCCAGUGGGCGAACCCCUCGUACGUGUACGGGAUUGACGGUACACUGGGAAUAAGCAUCGGCUAACUCCGUGCCAGCAGCCGCGGUAAUACGGAGGAUGCGAGCGUUAUCCGGAUUUAUUGGGUUUAAAGGGUGCGUAGGCGGAUGAAUAAGUCAGUGGUGAAAGGCUGCAGCUUAACUGUAGACUUGCCGUUGAUACUGUUUAUCUUGAGUGUGGUCAAGGCAGGCGGAAUGUGUAAUGUAGCGGUGAAAUGCUUAGAUAUUACACAGAACACCGAUUGCGAAGGCAGCUUGCUGGGCCAUUACUGACGCUGAUGCACGAAAGCGUGGGGAGCGAACAGG
This 424-nucleotide ribosomal RNA is filed under the name uncultured bacterium. Its description in RNAcentral is "bacterial SSU rRNA". It matches the Rfam family "Bacterial small subunit ribosomal RNA", at positions 355 to 776 of the family's 1533-position model. The record is from RNAcentral.